Molecule: long non-coding RNA, 1143 nt
Filed under: Sus scrofa (pig)
Lineage: Eukaryota; Metazoa; Chordata; Mammalia; Artiodactyla; Suidae
Description: lncRNA (ENSSSCG00070028753.1)
Source: RNAcentral
ACUCCUCGGAGGCUUCCCUUCCCCCACUCCGCCCCUCGGAGAAGAGGCGGCUCCGCGCGCAGUGUGUGUACAGUUUGCAUUGCCAACAACACGCGCGCGCGGCCUGGUGCGCGCGCUCGCCAGCGCACACUCACACACAUAGACACACACACACAUACAGAGACACACACACUCACACACACACACACACAGAUCCGGGUGGGGGGAGCGGCAGCGCGAGACAGCGCGAGCCUCCGAGAAAGCGCGAGACACGCCGGCGCGUGCAGCUCUGCAGCGGCCGCUGCGCCCCGGCUCGAGCCCCGCGCCACCCGCAGCCAGCCGGUGAGCGCCGGCCGGGGUUAUUUAUGCGGCAGCCGCGUCCGCCAGCUGCGGCUUCCUUCGGCACCCCCCUUGGCGCGCUCCCACUUGCGGCAGCAGCUGCAGGGACUCGCGCGUGGGUGUGUUGUUUGGGGGCUUCUGCCUCCGCGCCACGGGUGCCACCUCCCGGGACGCUGCCCCGGCGUGUCCGGCCGCGGUAAGUUUCUUCGCCCUCACUCUGGCGCGCUGCACCUCCGCCCCCUACCCCGUCCCAGCCACCUCCACUCCCGGCGGGGCUUCGACUUUACUCUGCUCAGCUCUCCUCCUGCCGCGGCGGCGGCAAAGUUUCGCCCCUGCCUCUGCGCUCAGCGCGGCGGAGCGAGUGUGACAUGUGUCAAAUCUCGGCUCGGCUUCGGGGUCGCCUUCCGGACCCAACAUUGCCACUUGUUGUUCUUUUUCAUUUUGCUUUGUGAUGAGAGGAAGGGUGAGUCGAGAGGGGAGGUUGCUGUUGUCUCACGGAUAAUUUUUAGUUUUGAAUAUGCAAAAUGUUGCUUCGUCCAGAGAAACCGCGGCUGGAGGAAUAUGUAUGUGGAAACACCAGAUGUGUUUGUUUACUCUUUAAUUUUUGGGUUUUGUCCGUUUCGCUUCCUCUUCCCUCCCCACCUCCCUUCGGGAGGAGGGAGGAGAAAUAACAGUAAAAACCUGUGGUGGUUGGAAGCACACACUUUAUUGAUCCAACUGCUGACCUUUAUUUACUCAGUUGGGCAAGUGCACGCCUCUCGUCUGCAAGUUGGACACUUAAACGUACAUUUCACAAGUACUUCUCUGGGAACGGGAGGCAGAUAG